This 482-nucleotide ribosomal RNA is filed under the name uncultured bacterium. Its description in RNAcentral is "partial 16S ribosomal RNA". It matches the Rfam family "Bacterial small subunit ribosomal RNA", at positions 28 to 507 of the family's 1533-position model. The record is from RNAcentral.
GACGAACGCUGGCGGCGUGCUUAACACGUGCAAGUCGAACGAUGAAGCAGAGAAACGCGCACUUCGGUUCAAAUUUCACUUCGGAUUAGUGGCAGACGGUUGAGUAACGCGUGAGCAACCUACCUCUUACAAAGGGAUAGCCUCGGGAAACCGUGAUUAAUACCAUAUGACACAUUCAUAAGGCAUCUUAAGAAUGUUAAAGCUACGGCGGUAAGAGAUGGGCUCGCGUCCCAUUAGCUAGUUGGUGAGGUAACGGCCCACCAAGGCGACGAUGGGUAACCGGCCUGAGAGGGUGAACGGUCACAUUGGAACUGAGACACGGUCCAAACUCCUACGGGAGGCAGCAGUGGGGAAUAUUGCACAAUGGAGGGAACUCUGAUGCAGCGACGCCGCGUGAGCGAUGAAGGAAUUCGUUUCGUAAAGCUCUGUUCUAUGGGAAGAAAAGGACUGUACCAUAGGAGAAAGCCCCGGCUAAAUACGUG